CUCCCUGCCUGGAUCCGGCCAAGUGCGGGGGACCUUGGCCAGUGUCCUAGAGAGCUGGCGUACCUCCUGGGCCUGACGCGGGCUUCCCGGAUUGCAUAAAGGCUCCUUCUCCUUACAUAGCCAGGGCAAAGGUGCAUGACAACCCUGAGCAAGUCAAAACAACCGUCAGCGGUGGGAAACCUCGGUGAACAAACACCGGGAGAGUGCAUUCCCAGGUGAGUUUCAGGAGGCCUAUGGCCCCUCCUGUACUGGCCUCCACCACCCAGAGCCUUCCAGCAUCAUGUCUUCCCCUUGGAGCAUCUGGAGGCCCCAGACAGCACCCACCUGAUGUUCAGCAGAGGAGGAGACAGAGGCCUGCAGCAGGUGUUUUGUUGGAUCUGACGCUCAGCAGAGGGGGAGACCGAGGCCUGCGGCAGGGUGUUUUGUCGGAUCGAUGCUCAGCAGAGGGGCAGACCGAGGCCUGCGGCAGGGUGUUUUGUCGGAUCGGACGCUGAGCAGAGGGGCAGACUGAGGCCUGCGGCAGGGUGUUUUGUUGGAUGCUGCUCCCUGGCCGGGGAGUGAGAGGGAACCCACCUAGAGGUGCUGGAUGGGGUGCCUGGCCAGCGUGACCUGCAGGCCCCUCAGCUCCUCACAGCCCCUGCCCCCAGCCUUCCUGGGCCCAGAGAUCUCCUUGUUCCCCUAGUCCAGGGACUAGUCCAGAGGCUCAGAUGUCAUGCUUGACCCCACAGGUACAGGGUUAAGGGUGAAGGUGGCUCUCUCUUCAUGUCUUCACCAUGGCUUCUCUGCCUUCCCCCGCUCCUGGUGGCUUAUGUCCUGCCGCUCUUGAUACCCGACUGUGGUCUGUCCUGGGAUGGUUGUGAUGCAUAUGUGCUGUUGUUGUGAACCGUAACACUGAGGUCUGGUCUUACGGUUGGUUUUGAUUGUCCCUUCUGCUCCCUUUUCUUAUUUUAAUAUUUUACCAUUUUCUGUUUUAAUGUAUUUGUUGUCUUUUUGGCUAAAUAUCUUUUCAGUUUUAUUUUACUGUAUAUCUUUUCUGAGUGAUUGCUUAGAGAUUACAAUAUAUUAAACCUAGCCUUUCACAGUUUCUGUAGAUCCUGCUUUGUGACUUCAAGGGAAGUGUGGAAGCGGUGGAAGCACUUAGACCCUGCCUGUGAGUUGUCAUAUAUCAUGUCUGCAAACAUUAAAAAUCUCACCAGAUGA
Non-coding RNA from Chlorocebus sabaeus (green monkey), 1200 nucleotides. NCBI's taxonomy places the organism in Eukaryota, Metazoa, Chordata, Mammalia, Primates, Cercopithecidae. The record is from RefSeq and is a predicted model, not a curated record.